GUGUCUCAAAGAAGGACAAGGCAUGAUAAGCAUGAAAAUUGUAGCAUUUGUUAUUGGUUGUACCAGUUAUUUUUAAAUGAAAAAUGAUUUAAUUUGAAAUUAUAGAUUCCGAAAUAGCGAAUUAAGUUAUUAUGUGUUAGAGCUGCGUAUGUUAAUUUUUUCUAGGGUUAAAGUGAUCAAUUAGAGAUUACUACGCCCCUGGCAUCACAUGGGAUGAAAUGGGCAAUUAGCACUCCUCGUGCCUUUUCUCGACUGCAGAAACCGUUCCUACGAAAUAACUAUUUUUAAAGAUAAAAACUGUUUCUUUAGUAUUUGCUCUUGUAGAUACCUUGAACCAAAGAAUCUCACCAAAGUAACCGUGACCCUCGUGGAAGCGUGGGUAGCUGUGCUUUUGGUAAAAGGCCUCUUUCGAGCAUAUGGAGACCUUGCAUAUCAGGUAGGGUUUUUUUAAAGCAUAACAUUAAUUCCACGCCCAGAGUUCUUCCACAGUAGGCAAUUUCCGUACCGACAAUUUCAAUUGAAAUGCAUCCAAAUCCUACACCAACGUUUGUUGCCGCAUUAAAAAGUCUGGCUACCAUAUAUUGUAAUUUUCUGGUUUGUCUUACAAAAUCUUAAAUUUUUGAAAUCUUCCAGUUUGCUAUUAAUGUCGGAAAUCAGAAAAUUUCUAAAUUUUGAUUUUGUAACAAAGCCCGUUUGUUUACAAUUUUUGCUGCUGUUUCUAGUGCUAUUUUCCCCUUCUGAUGCAUGUGAAUGAGUAGAUGAGUUAUGAAUGUUCUGAAUAUAUGCACCACUGAUGUACAUUUGAAUAUUCAUAACUCAUCCACUCGUUAAAAUUGCAGCAAACCAUUAGUUCGCUAUAUAAGCCAGGAUUAGGCUUCAAUGUAAAUAUAUGAUACAUAAUGAGUUUUAAUGACGUUCCCAUGCGACUGGACGGUCUGAAUAUGUAAUGAGAUACAUGCACACGUGAACGCUGGAUAGCAAAGUCAGAAGCACUUUGAACAUAUUUUAUGUUUUUAAACAUUUCAUUUUAGAGAUAUAUUUGUGUCAGAAUAACAGUAUAUUUUCUGGCCUGUCUAUGGAGUUACUCUGUUAUAUUAUUCCUUUCACAUUUUUUAGGUGGUGUUACAAUAAUAUGUUUAUUGUGUGUGAAUAUGGUUAUUGUAAGUAUUUUGAAGAAAGGUAAGUAUACGGAACACGCAUAUACUUUCCCGGUAGCAGAAAAAAAAUUGGGAUCACAAUGUAUGCGGUAAGGGUCACCAAUGGUACUCACCAAACGUGAACCUUUGACUAGUACAGUGAAUGUAUACAUUGAUCAUAUUUGCUAACCCAAUUUUAGUGGGUUUGGGAAAGAGGAAUUUAAUUACCUUAUACCAUGUGCCAUACACACGAUCGCGGACCAAGAGAUGUUAAGAUAGCAAAGAACAACGACAAAUAUUAGGUGCUAUUGAAAAGGAACUGCAUAUAAAAAGAAAGCCUGUUAUCUUCAGCAAAAUAUUUUGUGGUUGAAGUUGAACAUGUAAUGACAAUGCAAAAAUUACUCUGAAUUAUUACAAGUAGCAUUUAUAUGGAAAACGACGAAAAUCGUAGGAUAUUAGCAAUAAUAGUUUAUAAUCUACCAACAACAGUCGCCAAAUAUUUUGAAAUGAGGAAAUAUAGAUUUUUAUUGUUGUAGUGUUUGAUAACGAAAGUUAUUUUCACCAAGUUUAUCGUUGCUGGUGUUACGGAAUAUAAUUUGGAAUAUAUAUUUAUAAAUAUAUACAUUAAUCCCCUUAGUGAGUAAUCUACUUGUCUUAGCCUACCACGUUCUCUUCAACAUUUCUGUAGUUUACUUGUAAAAAUAUGUAGCCGCAUCAGGUUAUUUUUCUAAUACAUAUUCUUGAGAUAUGUUACAAUGCACAGAUUUUAAGUGCCGUGUGCCUGUGUUUAAAGACGUCGAAUUUGAGCUUAAAACCACGAGCGCAACACACAUGUGCGAAACCAAAUUCCAUUCGCGACCAAUUCCGUGGUCAUUAGAUACAAAUCCCCAACGUAUUUAAUAUUUUUAUCGCGAGGUGCAAACUCUUAUGAAUACGCCUCGUAUUUAUUUCUAAGCCAAAUUGGCCGUGUUCUCUUGGAUGCCGCCGCACUUUAACCCACUAGGCGGAAUUUUUCUUUGUCUUUUCUAAUUAGUUCCACCCGAGAAAUCACAAGACAAAGAAAAAUUCCGCUCCGCGCGCAAAAUUCCGCCUAGUGGAAAACCGGCUUAAAACUGCUGACACGGUACCAAUUUAUUAGCCUUUAUCACGAAGGCCAAAAUCCGCCAUUUUGGGGGUACUGUCUGCCCUCUUGAAAGAUUCUAGACAAUUCAAACAAUGUGAAAAGCGACUUUGAAAAGUUGUAACAGUACACCAAAAUGGCGGGAAAAUCGGCGGCGAGAAAGGCUAAUUCUCGGAACCGUUGCUCAGUUGCUACGGAUGUCACCGAGGUGUGUGUGCGAACGCAUAAAACAUUUGCUCGGGUUAACGCCCACAAACGUUGACGACCACACCUACAUGUUUUUUCAUGUUCACAAAUUUUAAACCGUCAAUCCGGCUCAUAUAGGUAGCCUGCGUGUCAGACUCUAUGCUUGAAAUAGAGCGGAGCCUGCUACUGAAGUCGAUGAAAAGUGGACAGUCAUUUGGAUGCACGAAAAUAACAACCAAUCAAAACAGCGAUUGUUAAUUAGAUUAUCAAAGCUAAUUUAAAAUAUGACUGAAUGACGGCCAAUUUUUCCGCCAAUAUCUCGAAAAUAAAUAUUCCAAUUUUCAUUAAACGACCAGGAAUUACAUACUAAUAAUAAUAACGGUUAUUGACCGUGUUUACAGACUGCAAAGGCAGUAAUUAAUGUGGCCAAAAGUACCAGUAUGGAAUAAUCGUUGUGUAAACAACAACUUGACAUUACUUUAUGAAGCAAGGCUAUUUAUUUCUGACUAAUGGGGAAUUUUGCGUACGGAAUCGUACGCAUAAGUCCACUUUUUAUUAACUUCAGUAGCAGGCUCUAUUUCAAGCAUAGAGUCUGACACGCAGGCUAGUUCAUAGGUUACCAUGGGUGCAGAGGUAGGAAACCACUAAUCAGGGGGUAGUUCUUGGUAUAAUUGCUAUAAAAAUUUGAUUGGCUAUUGUUUUCGUCAACAUUUGUGGCACACUUCGGUGACCUUAGUAUUAUGCAAGAUUUCAAGUUAGUUCGAGUUUACAUGGUACGGUUGACUAGAUGCAUGUGCAUGCGAAUUCGUCCAGUCUCGUGUGGACGAGGCUUAUGUGAACGAGAUGGUUCAAGAAAUCGGCAGCGACUACUACACCAGACUGGAAAAGACAGAGUGGCGUUCAUGAAAAAUGGCUUUCCAACUGACGGCCUGCCUGCCUUGGUGUACUUGAACCAAAAACAGCAGCAAUGACGAUGGCUUCGCUUAUGCGUUAUACAGGGGUGAUUUUCAGGAGGAGCGCUGGGGACGUCAAGUUUUACAACAAGAUGAGUUCUUUUACGUUUGAAGCCAUCGUCAGAAUCCAGAAGUCCAUCUGUAUUUCAGCGAAAAGUGAUUCAAAGUUUUUGUGCCAAUUAACAGUGACGGAGGUUUUGGAUGCAUAAGAUAUAGGCGAAGUUAACUAGAUUCUUUUGUAGAGAAACUGUUAUAAAAUAAUCCAAUCCUGUUUAUUGCAAUUUUGCCCCAUUUGGCUCGUUUCCAUGUUUUCCUGUUUUAGCAUGCAGGCGCACACGAAUGUAAUAUCCCCAUGUUUCGUGCACAAAUAUGUUGUUCAUUGAUCUUGAGCUUCAUCACCCGUCUAUCCUUAUCCCUAUUAUGCAGAAACAUGAGAAAUUUAACCACAUGAAAACGAGGCCAUUGGGACAGGGGUGCAAGCUGCAUAAAAUUAAAACGUGUAUGAAGUGAUAAUGAAAAUAAAGAAAUAUGAGUUUGAUUGGUGUGUUGAGUAAUUGAUUAAAAGGAUUUUCUCUAGUUAUAGUGAUCAUUUCAACUACAUUGUCAUCUAUUAUUAAC
RNAcentral lists this long non-coding RNA (4013 nucleotides) under Paramuricea clavata. The record is from RNAcentral. Lineage: Eukaryota; Metazoa; Cnidaria; Anthozoa; Malacalcyonacea; Plexauridae.